Molecule: long non-coding RNA, 539 nt
Filed under: Olea europaea subsp. europaea
Lineage: Eukaryota; Viridiplantae; Streptophyta; Magnoliopsida; Lamiales; Oleaceae
Source: RNAcentral
UUUCCCAGAUAUUCUAUUGCUGAAUGUGCUUCAAGAAUUGCCCUUGGAACAUUCUUCCACAAGUCUUCCUACUGCCAAUGAUUCUUGUCAUAUCCCUCCAGUCAAUGACUCUAGCACCAUUCACAACUUAGAUCAAUCCCUUUCAUCUAUUCCUAGAAAAGGUAUGAGAACACGUAGGGCCCCUUCUUACCUUCGUAAUUUUCAUUGCAAUCUUCUGACCAAAACUUCUCCUCUUCCCAACACUUCCUUAUAUCCUUUAUCCAAAUACUUAUCUUACAAAACAUUUUCCCCCUCACACAACUCCCUUCUCUUCAAUAUAUCUUCCACAUUUGAGCCCCAAUUUUAUCAUCAGGCAGUGAAGUGUGAACAAUGGAGGAAUGCCAUGGCUGAUGAAUUGGCAGCCAUGGAAGCAAACCAUACUUGGUCAAUUACCACUUUGCCUAAGGACAAGCAUUCCAUAGGGUCUCAGUGGGUUUAUAAGAUCAAAUUCAACUCAGAUGGGAGUAUAGACCGGUACAAAGCCCGGUUGGUUGCGAAAG